AAAAGACUCGCGGGAGAGAGUGCAGACUCGCACCGCCGAAGGCGCAACCGCCCCGGAAACGCUCAGGCAAAAUGGACCGCUCGUCACAU
RNAcentral lists this non-coding RNA (89 nucleotides) under Asticcacaulis sp. AC466. Its description in RNAcentral is "Glycine riboswitch aptamer". It matches the Rfam family "Glycine riboswitch aptamer". From Rfam's summary of the family: This family represents the bacterial glycine riboswitch. RNAcentral also lists the same sequence under 1 other name. The record is from Rfam by way of RNAcentral. Lineage: Bacteria; Pseudomonadati; Pseudomonadota; Alphaproteobacteria; Caulobacterales; Caulobacteraceae.